AUGGACGCGCUCAUCUCGGCGGCGCUCGAGGAGGUGUGCGCCCGCCUCUCCUACGGAAUCCCCGUCACCGACCUCUGGCCGGCGCUACGCGGGGCGCUCGAGGCGGCCGGCCUCCCGCUCAGCCCCGCCGUCAAGCGCGUCCUGUGGGCUCGCCUUCUCGCGCUCCCCGUCAUCAGCCUCGUGGUGGGCGACGGGGAUGGAUCGCCCGUCGCGCCCGGCGACCCGGCGGAGAAGGACGUGGGGGAGGCAGAGCGGCGGGGCGUGCGGCUGGUGUCGAGCGCGCCGCUCAGGGACAACUUCCUUGGGAUGUAUGACCACAGGUUCGCUAAAUCGGAGCUGAGUGCCGUCCAGAAGGCCGCGCUAGAGCUUGUCGGGGCAAGCAGGACUGUUGGUGUAACACAGAAUGAUCUAUGCAAAAAAUUUCACAUGAAAGGAAACAACUUCCAUUUUAUCGUAAAAAGCCUUGUAUCACAGCGGCUGAUAGUUAGACAAUCAGCUCUCAUAAAGGUGAAAGACAAUGGGGCUGAGGGGGAAGAGAUUUCACAUAAUAAGCAGGUUAUUAACACCAACUCAUUAUAUCUGUCCCGAUAUGCCAAAGACAUGAAUAUGAAUUCACAACAAAGAAUUGAGAUUACAAAACCUGAACUACUGGGGAGCAAUGAAGAGACCAACAUUGCUUUGCAAGAAGAUGGAGCUUUGGCUGUAAACUUGAAGAAUGACAUAUCUGUUCAUGAUUAUCUUCCAGCAAUGGAAGCCAUAUGUGAAAAACUUGAAAAUGCCAGUGGAAAGGCUCUUGUUGUAUCAGAUAUAAAAGUUGAUCUGGAUUACAAGAUGGCAUAUGGACACAGAGCAUGGAGAAAUGUAUUGCAUAGGCUAAGAGAUGCACAGCUUGUUGAAGAAUUCGAUGCCAAAGUUGAUGAUAAGGUUGUUCGCUGUUUACGAUUGCUGAAGAAAUUUGAUCCAGUUGAGUUCCAGUCGAAAAGUACAACCCAAGACUACAAAAUUGGCGAGAAACGCCAGGCAACUGAUCAAGUUAUGGAGCUUCCAUUAGAGAACUGUAUAUAUGAUAUGAUCAAAGCUGAAGGGUCAAAAGGUAUAACCCUUGUCGAGCUUGGCAAACGUCUUGGGCAUAAGAAUUCAAGAAGGCUUCAUAAAAGAGUGUCAUCCAUGCGCCAAAGAUUCAAUUUGACUUGGGAUGCUGAAGUUUCAGAUAAGACAUCUCAGUACCGAGUUUGGACUUCAAAAGAAUUUUUGCACUACAAAUCUGGUACUGCUCUGCAAAGUUUUGAGGCACUCCCAGGUGACCAUGUCAAGCGUUCCGAUUCGUGGUCACUAGUUCCAUCUAGUGGAUUGGAUUCACAUAGCUCUCAUGGCAACAAUAAUGAACUCUUGUAUGAAGCGGAAUGCCAUGAUGAGCCAGUUGGACAUUCUCUCCAAAGCAGCCAUGAAGCUUGUGUUGGAGUUUCCCAACUAGUUAAACAAGAUAAACUUGCUUUGGGUCGGAAGAAGCAUCGGUGCCCCCCUUCAACUUCUGAUGAUCGACGACAGAGAAGGAUUCUACACAUGUUGAAGAAAAAGAAAUUUGUGCUAAAGGUGGAGUUACAUAAAUGGUUAGAGAGACUUGAGAAGGAAAAUGGAAAAAUGAUGGAUAGGAAAACAUUGGCUCGCACGUUGAAUAAGCUUCAGCAAGAGGGCAGCUGUAAAUGUAUCAAAGUCAGUGUCCCUUUGGUUACAAACUACACCCGCAAUCGUCUCAUUGAUGUAAUACUGCAUUCUUCUGUUGGGGACUUAUCACCAGAACUUGUUGAUCAAAUUAGGAUGAGGCAGCGGAACUUUGACACUGAAACUCGUUCUGGUGCAGCAGCUAAACUGAAGCAAAAUCAACAUAAGACAGCCAUACCUGGUCUGAGGAUUUCACGCAGAGUUAAAGAUAACAAACCGUUAAUAAUAGAAGCCAUGCAUGCCAAUGGAUUUAUAGGUGCAAAAAUGAUCCGGGUGAAGCUGUUCCAUAAAUUUCUGUGGGUAUAUGUUAGUUGUUUGCCAGGUUGCUGCAUACCAGCUGGUUAUGCCGAAGAAGGGCAGCAUGCCAAGGACCUUAAUCAAUCAUCUCCGUUAUUUUCGAUGGCAGCAGCUAUAAAUGAAAUGCCUGUCGAACUCUUUCUACAAGUUGUGGGAUCAGCCAAGAAGAUCGAUAACAUGAUAACUAAGGUGCUUUCAGAACUUCCUACCGAGGAAUACAACCAGCUCAUGGACACUCAUGCUAAGGGACGACUCUCACGCUUAAUAAAUAUUUUAGAUAAGCUCAAGUUGCUCCAACUUGCAAAUGAACUUGUAGAUGAGUCAGGUGUACCAUCAGAUGCUGCGCCUACACAUUCAAUGGAGCUCAGGCCUUAUAUUGAAGAACCAAUACGAAGAAUUCUUCCAUCAUCACAUGUUAAUUUGAAUCAUCGUCCAAAAAUUCGGCAUGAUUUUGUGCUUUCAAAGCAGGAGUUUGUUGAUGCUUACUGGGAAACAUUAGAGUACUGCUAUCUGACAGCUGGCUUGACUGAGCCGUUAAGUGCCUUCCCUGGCUGUGCUGUACCUGAGGUUUCUCAUCCUCGUUCGUGGAGUUCUCGUAGAGUAAUGACUAUUGAACAACGGCGGGAGUUACAAAAGCGUAUUAGAAAAAUCAGUGAGGAGGGGAGAAUUCCUUUCAAAGAUUGUCUUGUAAUCGCAAAAGAGUUGAAUCUCUCUCUAGAGCAGGUGCUUUGUGUUUCGUACUCUCAGAAUAGACAGCUCAGCUUUCCUACACAAAAGCAGCAACGAGCUAGUUCUGGAUCAAUCUGUCAGAAAAGGAAAAGAUCUGCUAAUAAGGUUACCCUACGGUUUAUUAAACAAAAAGUUGAAGCCAGUGGAUCCUCUGGAAAGAUAUCAACCCAGUCUACCCUGGAUGAGAGAUUACCAGGGAGCAUUUAUGCAUCAUCCACUGGUAAAAAGUUCGUGUGGACAUAUGAAUCUGACAGAAAACUGCUGAUGAUCUACACUAGAUUUUGUGCAGCACGGGGACCCAAAUGUCAAUGGAACUCUCUCUCUGGUCUUCCAGCUGCACCACCUACAUGUCGUAGAAGGAUGGCAUAUUUAAAUAAAAACGUAAAUAUAAGAAAAGCUGUUGUCCGAAUCUGUAGCCUUCUCAGAGAGGAAAGGAGAUCGAAAGAGAGGGAAUCCCAUUCUCAUAUGUCAAAUUCUAGUCAUGAGAACUGUGUGGAUUCAGAUUCUGAGAUAUUCAAUUGGGAUUAUUUUGAAGAUCCAGAAAUAAAAAAUGCACUUGAUGAAGUCCUUGAAUUCAUCCGAGUAGAAAACGUGAACCAGACCAGGAAAGUUGAGCCUAAUAAUGCAAAGUGCAACAAUGAUAAUAAUGCCAAUGAGGAAAUUCCAAGUGGGCAGAAAGAGCAGGUUAUGCAAGGUGUUACCAGUACAAGCACUGCAGUUCCAGAAACUGGAUCACGUGAGCUUGCAGAAUUGCCUAGACAAUCAAAUGCACCCCAUGCUAGUAACAGUGUGGACGGUCCCUGUGCAUCUGAUGAAAACAUCAUUAAGGUCAACAAAGAUGAAACUACUAGAAGAUAUGGAUGCAAAUCUUUAGCAGUUGCCAAUGCGAUAGAGCUUCUGAAGUUGGUUUUUCUCAGCACAUCAUCAGGAUCAGAAGUACAGGCUUCAUUAGCUACAACCCUCCAGCUGUAUUCACAGAGCGAAAUUGUGGCUGCCUUUUCCUUUCUUAGUGAGAAGAAGUUCACGGUUAGUGGACAUGGAACAAAGCCAUACACCCUUUCUAGAAAAUUCUUCUUCAAGGCUUCUCAUUCACCCUUCCCAUUUGGUUCUGGAAAAAAGGCUUCUGAAUUUUCCAACUGGCUUAUAGGGCAGCAAAGGAACACUGCAGGAAAUAGACUUUAUUUGUAUCCAGAUGUAGAAUGUGGAGAAAUUGUUUAUCUCUUUUCGCUGGUUUCGUCUGGAGAGUUGUUCAUUUCACCUUCCUUGCCAAGCGAAGGAGUUGGUGAUGCUGAUGGGCCUAAUAGUUCCAGCCCUUUGGUUGAAGAUACCAGUGGACUAAAUGAUGGUACUCACAAACGCAAGGCUGAUACGGUGGAACAGGAAAGCAGUGCGGCUAAGAAAAACAAACUUUGCUACCGCCGUGAGAAAGGUUUCCCUGGUAUCCAAGUUGCUCUGAAUCAGGACAGAAUUCAAACAAACUAUCUCACGCAGGAGUUACAUGAUAAAGAGUGCCUUAUUUUUAGUUUAGCCCAGGAAAUGAGCAUGAGGGAUGUUGAUUCACAGGUUGAAAGCCCCGACACGUCACUGUAUUUAAACAACUCCAGUUCAUGUCGACAUAUGCUGUCUGAAUCUCAUUUGGAAAGCUCUUAUAAUGGAUGGCCUUGGGAUGCUAUGAAAAUAUAUGCAGACCAGUUACCAUCAUUAUCUUGUAAUCAAAAUGAAUUAUCCAUAUUGUCUUCUGAUCUGUUCAGAAACGCAUUUUAUGUUAUUUAUCAAGGUGGCGAAGGAGGAGUUAAUUUGAGAGAAUUGUCACAGAAACUGCAUCCAUUAGGCACACAGUUAGUUGAUGUGAUUGUUCAUACACUCAAGAGAUUUCAUCUGGCCAUGGAGGUCAAUGCGUACGAUGGUUUCCAGAUCGUUGACUCAUUACAUAAGUCAAAGUAUCAUAUAACCACACUUGCAGAAUACAGCCAUUGCAGCUGUUCACAAGCUCGAGGUUCUCAAAUAAUGGAGACUGGAGGCACAGAAAAUGUAUUGAAAGAGAAGCAUGCCAUGUCUAGUAAGCAGGGAACUGUAAAAAAACUUGGUGAUGGGCACACAGUCACAAUUCUUAGUGGUGAAAGCAAGUCAAAUUCAUCUCAUAUGUGCAGUCAAAAUUGUGGAGAUAAGGAAAUAGUGUCUACUCCAUCACAAGACAACAGGGAGAGUGAUUGCUGCCAUGCUUGUGAAAGGCAUAUUUAUCACCCUAUAUUGCCAUGGAUAAAUGGUGAUGGCAGCAUCAAUAGUACCGUCUAUGAAGGUUUAACUCGUCGAAUUAUUGGCUAUGUGAUGCAAUAUCCAGGAACAGUAGAGGAGGAUGUUAUCCACAAGAUGGAUGUAUUGAAUCCUCAGACAUGCAGGACCUUGUUGGAGAAGCUGACACUUGAUAAACACCUCUAUGUUCGGGUGUUCGAAGAACCUGUGCCUACGGCUCCCACCAUAUUGCAGAGUCUUUUCAGUCGGGACACCUGUACACAACCAUGCAAGCGUAGAAGGCGUUACUUCUCUAACUCAACGAGCACAUUCAUGUUAUAA
Molecule: ribosomal RNA, 5322 nt
Filed under: Triticum aestivum (bread wheat)
Lineage: Eukaryota; Viridiplantae; Streptophyta; Magnoliopsida; Poales; Poaceae
Description: partial small subunit ribosomal RNA
Source: RNAcentral